UGGUAUAGCUCAGUCGGUAGAGCAGCUCAUUCGUAAUGAGCAGGUCAUGGGUUCGAGUCCCACUUCC
RNAcentral lists this transfer RNA (67 nucleotides) under Massilioclostridium coli. It matches the Rfam family "tRNA". Rfam says of the family: Transfer RNA (tRNA) molecules are approximately 80 nucleotides in length. Their secondary structure includes four short double-helical elements and three loops (D, anti-codon, and T loops). Further hydrogen bonds mediate the characteristic L-shaped molecular structure. tRNAs have two regions of fundamental functional importance: the anti-codon, which is responsible for specific mRNA codon recognition, and the 3' end, to which the tRNAs corresponding amino acid is attached (by aminoacyl-tRNA synthetases). tRNAs cope with the degeneracy of the genetic code in two manners: having more than one tRNA (with a specific anti-codon) for a particular amino acid; and 'wobble' base-pairing, i.e. permitting non-standard base-pairing at the 3rd anti-codon position. The record is from RNAcentral. Lineage: Bacteria; Bacillati; Bacillota; Clostridia; Eubacteriales; Clostridiaceae.